RNAcentral lists this ribosomal RNA (464 nucleotides) under uncultured bacterium. RNAcentral describes it as "partial 16S ribosomal RNA". It matches the Rfam family "Bacterial small subunit ribosomal RNA", at positions 28 to 507 of the family's 1533-position model. The record is from RNAcentral.
GACGAACGCUGGCGGCGUGCUUAACACAUGCAAGUCGAACGGAAAGGCCCAGCUUGCUGGGUGCUCGAGUGGCGAACGGGUGAGUAACACGUGGGUGAUCUGCCCCUAACUUCGGGAUAAGCUUGGGAAACUGGGUCUUAUACCGGAUAGGACAAUCGUUUAGUGUCGGUUGUGGAAAGUUUUUUCGGUUAGGGAUGAGCCCGCGGCCUAUCAGCUUGUUGGUGGGGUAAUGGCCUACCAAGGCGUCGACGGGUAGCCGGCCUGAGAGGGUGGACGGCCACAUUGGGACUGAGAUACGGCCCAGACUCCUACGGGAGGCAGCAGUGGGGAAUAUUGCACAAUGGGCGCAAGCCUGAUGCAGCGACGCCGCGUGGGGGAUGACGGCCUUCGGGUUGUAAACCUCUUUCGACAGGGACGAAGCUUUGGUGACGGUACCUGUAUAAGAAGCACCGGCUAACUACGUG